RNAcentral lists this non-coding RNA (45 nucleotides) under Schistosoma curassoni. Lineage: Eukaryota; Metazoa; Platyhelminthes; Trematoda; Strigeidida; Schistosomatidae. The record is from RNAcentral.
AUCCAGCUGACGAGUCCUAAAUGGGACGAAAUCCACGUCCUGGAU